This 253-nucleotide ribosomal RNA is filed under the name uncultured bacterium. RNAcentral's name for it is "partial 16S ribosomal RNA". It matches the Rfam family "Bacterial small subunit ribosomal RNA", at positions 524 to 776 of the family's 1533-position model. The record is from RNAcentral.
UACGUAGGGGGCGAGCGUUAUCCGGAUUUACUGGGCGUAAAGCGCCCGCAGGCGGUCUAGCGCGUUUGAGGUGACAGCUGCUCGCUUAACGAGGAGAGGGUCUCAAAGACGGCCAGACUUGAGGACCAGAGAGGGACACGGAAUUCCGGGUGUAGUGGUGAAAUGCGUAGAUAUCCGGAGGAACACCGAAAGCGAAGGCAGUGUCCUGGCUGGCCCCUGACGCUGAGGGGCGAAAGCUAGGGGAGCGAACGGG